AUGACUGAGGCUUGGAACACAGGACUGGGCAGAACAGGGGACAAUGGUGAACAAAACCAGAGGAGAAAAGAUGGGGCAGGCAAUCCAAAAGUGAAUUUUCAGGAGCCAAAGAGCUACCACAUGUUACCUUGUGCAGAAUGUGGUAGCGAUGAUGCAACACUCCGGGAACUUUGUUCAUCAUCCAUAAGUUCCUACAGGCCUGCGCAUCACACGAUCGUUUGGGUCCGGUUACAGCCUCCCUGGAAGAACUUGACAAACAGGUUGAAGCGCCGCCUUUAACGCACGAAACCACCUGCACGGAGCUAUAAAUGUGCGCCCUUCAUCAAGUACCAGAAAGGAAAAGAGAAAACUAAAAACGGAGCUUCCCUGUUCGGAGCUUCCCUAAAUCUUCGUUAUAGCGCUACAGACCCACAGACGACCCAGUAAGCCGAUCUACCCGGAAUUAAAUAGCGGAUAUUUGGAUCGUCGAUUUUUAUUCCUGAUACUGGAAAAAAGA
This is a long non-coding RNA of Takifugu rubripes (torafugu), 496 nucleotides long. NCBI's taxonomy places the organism in Eukaryota, Metazoa, Chordata, Actinopteri, Tetraodontiformes, Tetraodontidae. The record is from Ensembl.